GGGAGACAGCACCAUCAGGUCAUCUGUCUACAGCAGACCCUCUUUAGGGGGAGACAGCAGCAUCGGGUCAUCUGUCUACAGCAGACCCUCUUUAGUGGGAGACAGCAGCAUCAGGUCAUCUGUCUACAGCAGACCCUCCUUAGUGGGAGACAGCAGCAUCAGGUCAUCUGUCUACAGCAGACCCUCUUUAGUGGGAGACAGCAGCACCAGGUCAUCUGUCUACAGCAAACCCUCCUUAGUGGGAGACAGCAGCACCAGGUCAUCUGUCUACAGCAGACCCUCCUUAGUGGGAGACAGCAGCACCAGGUCAUCUGUCUACAGCAGACCCUCCUUAGUGGGAGACAGCAGCACCAGGUCAUCUGUG
Long non-coding RNA from Oncorhynchus tshawytscha (Chinook salmon), 364 nucleotides. The record is from Ensembl. NCBI's taxonomy places the organism in Eukaryota, Metazoa, Chordata, Actinopteri, Salmoniformes, Salmonidae.